AACGAACGCUGGCGGCAUGCCUAACACGUGCAAGUCGAACGAGACCUUCGAGUCUAGUGGCGCACGGGUGCGUAACGCGUGGGAACCUGCCCUUAGGUUCGGAAUAACUCCCCGAAAGGGGUGCUAAUACCGGAUAAUGUCUUCGGACCAAAGAUUUAUCGCCUUUGGAUGGGCCCGCGUUGGAUUAGCUAGUUGGUAGGGUAAAAGCCUACCAAGGCGACGAUCCAUAGCUGGUCUGAGAGGAUGAUCAGCCACACUGGGACUGAGACACGGCCCAGACUCCUACGGGAGGCAGCAGUGGGGAAUAUUGGACAAUGGGCGAAAGCCUGAUCCAGCAAUGCCGCGUGAGUGAUGAAGGCCUUAGGGUUGUAAAGCUCUUUUACCCGGGAUGAUAAUGACAGUACCGGGAGAAUAAGCGCCGGCUAACUCCGUG
Molecule: ribosomal RNA, 433 nt
Filed under: uncultured bacterium
Lineage: Bacteria
Description: partial 16S ribosomal RNA
Rfam family: Bacterial small subunit ribosomal RNA
Source: RNAcentral